AGUACUCUUUCCAGAGGGCCAGAUACCCAAAUUCGAUCAUCCAAUCGCCAACGUCCCCCGAAAACAGAGUCCAGCCUCCAGAAACCUCCUCAUCUCAUUUACAUUUAUCUGUGCACUCUAGUGCAGAUUCGGAAGGACACUUCACUAAGGUUCGAUCAUGGUACCCUCCAAAUUAUACCAACCACAAACCCUAAUUCCAAAUUCCUAAUUUCCAAUUUCCCAAUCUCUCUCUCACUAACAGUGCAAGAACCAUGUCUCACUUCGGUAGGUCUGGCCCUCCGGACAUCACCGACACCUACUCUCUCCACGUCCUCAACAUCACCUUCCGUACGAGCGCUGAUGAUCUGUUUCCGCUUUUCGAUAAGUAUGGCAAGGUUGUUGACAUCUUCAUCCCCAGAGACCGGAGGACUGGGGAGUCAAGGGGGUUUGCUUUUGUUCGAUACAAAUACGCAGAUGAGGCUCAGAAAGCAGUUGAAAGGCUUGAUGGGAGAGUUGUUGAUGGCCGGGAGAUAACUGUUCAGUUUGCUAAGUAUGGGCCAAAUGCAGAGAGGAUUCAUAAAGGAAGGAUUUCUGAAGCUCUACCAAAAUCAAGGUACAGGUCAAGAAGUCGCAGUCCUCGGAGAAGGUACCGAGAUGACUACAGAGACCGUGAUUACAGGAGGAGAAGUCGCAAUAGGAGUUGGGAUAGGUAUGACCGUGACAGAUACCAUGGGAGGGACAGAGACUACCGUCGACGAAGCAGGAGCCGUAGUGCCAGUCCUGAUUACUACAGGAUCAGGGGAAGGGGGUGCUAUGAUGAAAGGCGGAGUCCGAGUCCAUAUAGGAGUCGGAGUCGGAGUCGUACUCGGAGUCCAUAUCGGUCUAUUGAUAGUGCCUCCCCUGCUCGGCGUAGCCCUAGUCCACGUAAGAGCCCUUCCCCACUAAGCAGGAGCCGCAGUGCCAGCUCUGAUAGACGUAGUCUUGAUGGACAAUCCCCAACCUCUCGAAGUGUUUCACCACGCCAUCGUCCUGCUGAUUCUUGAAGCCCAUCCCCCCGAAAUUUAGAUUUUGAUGUGAGUUGAUGUCUACAGUUUUGAUUGCUUCUGGAAUGAUUACUUUCUCUUGCAUGGGCAGAAGAGUAUUGGUUUGCUCUGCUGAUAUCGGGGAUCCUUGAUCAUCAUGCUUGUUUCUUUUGGAUCUUUUACGUGCUAGUUCUGUUCUGUUCGUGAAAAGAGUGAUUGAGGCCAAGAUAAGAGGAUGUUGAUUCGCAGCCGUUGAUGCUGUUUCUAGUUUGUAGAUGGAUGGUCGUGGUUGUGAUGGUGGUCUUAAAGUAUGAUUGUUUUUCGCAGUGAGCUGGUUGCAGGGCCAGUAGCUUAAGCUGAUUUUCUCCAUACGUGAUAUAUGUUGGUAAGAAAUAUGGCUUGGCUAUUUGUUUCUGAAGUGUUAUGUAAUUAGGAUUUCUAUGUUUGACCUAAUAGUCGGUUAAAGGGGUUUUAGCUGCUGUGGCGGUCGUAACUGGGUCUUUACCUGUAGCUGAUGCUGCAUGUGAUUUGGACGGACAUGUUGUUCCUUAUGAACCUGAAUGGGUUUGUAGUUGCUGUGAUGGUAGAAAUUGAACUGGUGUUUCCCUGCUGCCUGAUAAUGCACAUGAGUUGGACCUGUGAUUUAGUAACCAGGCUGCGGAUACCCAUUAUGAACUGUGGAUACUAACUCUGAAACCUUGUAUGUUGGGCCCCACUUUGCAGUCACAGUAAUGAGACACGGUAAACAAGUUUGUGGUUAAUUUCUUUAGGCUAUGUUUGGAUGAGGGAUUUUCAAGUCCUAAGGGAUUGAUGCCAAGUUAGUAAGGGAUGGAUUACAAAUUAUUAGGUAAUAAAAGGGAUUAGAAUGGCACACAUGAGCAUUACGAAGGCAUGUAAAAGAGUUUUAUAAAUGAUUCCUUCCUAGUAGGGAUUUGCAAACCCCUCUCACAUGCCUUUUUAAUGUUCAUGUGGUGCAUUUCUAAUCCCUUUUAUCGAGCAUUUUGUAAUCCUUUCCUUAUUAACUUGACCUCAAUCCCUUUGGGCUUGGGAAAUUUCUCAAUCCCGUAGGGUACUUUAGACUACUAUAUCUAGUCCCAACCUGUUUUCAAUUGUAUAACCUAUGCUGCUGGAUUUAUAUAGAUCUUGUAUCACAUGUUGGUGGCUCUAGCUGUGAAAUGGUAGCUGUAUUAUGUUGUAUCAGAAUCUUGUGUGGGUUCGUGAACAACUGAAGUUGUAGCGAAUAACCACCUGCUGCGCUGUUGCUGCCAUUUUAUGAUGGGGUCCGGUAGGCUAUGACCAGUUGGGGCCCUGAGAAUGGCCGCUUGGCUAUCUAUCUGGCAUGUCCUGAUUGCCGAAAGAUUUACUUUGUUUUCUGUUAUGCCUGAUUGAUAAAUGGCUGUGCAUAGUUGCUGGUCCUAGUUCCAGAAGCUCGUUUCUUAAUCAGUCUUUUAACAUUUACGACAUAAUAAUUGCAUUUAACGAUUAUGGGGUUGAUCUGGGGAAGAUCACUUGGUCUUCUUACAUAUAAUGUUCUUUUGCCAAUCUUAUGCGCCUAUUGUUCCACGUAUAUUGUAGGUUGCUGCGAAUCUUUCGUAAGACUGGUAUCAGAUAUCCUGUUGUGCUUUUGACAGUGAGAACAUGUAAGGCCCUUGUUUUUGCUUACGUUGUAGACUCUUAUAUUUUCAUGCUGUAUUCUUGUGUUGUGUUCUAGUAUUGAUGAGUGAGAACUUUAGAAUGUAGGGGAAUGCUGCAUCGCUAAAUCAUUGUUUUAGUGAUGGACCAGACAUGUAUUCUUGUGCUUGACUAGACGUUUUCAAUUUCGAGUUCUGAUUUUCUCGUUCACCGCU
This is an RNA transcript of Pyrus x bretschneideri (Chinese white pear), 2848 nucleotides long. It is a transcript of the gene named serine/arginine-rich splicing factor SC35-like, with no coding region annotated. The transcript has 9 exons. The record is from RefSeq and is a predicted model, not a curated record. NCBI's taxonomy places the organism in Eukaryota, Viridiplantae, Streptophyta, Magnoliopsida, Rosales, Rosaceae.